Molecule: ribosomal RNA, 464 nt
Filed under: uncultured Klebsiella sp.
Lineage: Bacteria; Pseudomonadati; Pseudomonadota; Gammaproteobacteria; Enterobacterales; Enterobacteriaceae
Description: bacterial SSU rRNA
Rfam family: Bacterial small subunit ribosomal RNA
Source: RNAcentral
CCUACGGGUGGCAGCAGUGGGGAAUAUUGCACAAUGGGCGCAAGCCUGAUGCAGCCAUGCCGCGUGUGUGAAGAAGGCCUUCGGGUUGUAAAGCACUUUCAGCGGGGAGGAAGGCGGUGAGGUUAAUAACCUCAUCGAUUGACGUUACCCGCAGAAGAAGCACCGGCUAACUCCGUGCCAGCAGCCGCGGUAAUACGGAGGGUGCAAGCGUUAAUCGGAAUUACUGGGCGUAAAGCGCACGCAGGCGGUCUGUCAAGUCGGAUGUGAAAUCCCCGGGCUCAACCUGGGAACUGCAUUCGAAACUGGCAGGCUAGAGUCUUGUAGAGGGGGGUAGAAUUCCAGGUGUAGCGGUGAAAUGCGUAGAGAUCUGGAGGAAUACCGGGGGCGAAGGCGGCCCCCUGGACAAAGACUGACGCUCAGGUGCGGAAGCGUGGGGAGCAAACAGGAUGAGAUACCCAGUAGUC